AUUGAACGCUGGCGGAAUGCUUUACACAUGCAAGUCGAACGGCAGCACGGGGGCAACCCUGGUGGCGAGUGGCGAACGGGUGAGUAAUACAUCGGAACGUGCCCGGUCGUGGGGGAUAACGUAGCGAAAGUUACGCUAAUACCGCAUACGAUCUGAGGAUGAAAGCGGGGGACCUUCGGGCCUCGCGCGAUCGGAGCGGCCGAUGUCAGAUUAGGUAGUUGGUGGGGUAAAGGCCUACCAAGCCGACGAUCUGUAGCUGGUCUGAGAGGACGACCAGCCACACUGGGACUGAGACACGGCCCAGACUCCUACGGAAGGCAGCAGUGGGGAAUUUUGGACAAUGGGCGCAAGCCUGAUCCAGCCAUUCCGCGUGCAGGACGAAGGCCUUCGGGUUGUAAACUGCUUUUGUAUGGAACGAAAAGGCUCUGGCUAAUACCUGGGGCUCAUGACGGUACCGUAAGAAUAAGCACCGGCUAACUACGUG
RNAcentral lists this ribosomal RNA (484 nucleotides) under uncultured bacterium. RNAcentral's name for it is "partial 16S ribosomal RNA". It matches the Rfam family "Bacterial small subunit ribosomal RNA", at positions 30 to 507 of the family's 1533-position model. The record is from RNAcentral.